GACGGAGGGUGCGAGCGUUAUUCGGAAUCAUUGGGCGUAAAGGGUGUGCAGGCGGCUGGUCAAGUCAGAUGUGAAAGCCCAGGGCUUAACCCUGGAAGUGCAUUUGAAACUGAUCGGCUUGAGUUCGGGAGAGGGAAGCGGAAUUCCGGGUGUAGAGGUGAAAUUCGUAGAUAUCCGGAGGAACACCGGUGGCGAAGGCGGCUUCCUGGACCGAAACUGACGCUGAGACACGAAAGCGUGGGGAGCAAACAGGAUUAGAUACCCUGGUAGUCCACGCUGUAAACGAUGGGCGCUAGGUGUGGGGGGUUUUUAAUCUCUCCGUGCCGCAGCUAACGCAUUAAGCGCCCCGCCUGGGGAGUACGGCCGCAAGGUUA
This 374-nucleotide ribosomal RNA is filed under the name uncultured prokaryote. Its description in RNAcentral is "bacterial SSU rRNA". It matches the Rfam family "Bacterial small subunit ribosomal RNA", at positions 524 to 896 of the family's 1533-position model. The record is from RNAcentral.